GGCAGUGUAGCCAAGUGGUUACGGCGUCACGUUUAGGCCUUUUGGACUUCCACCGUGAUGGGUUUCCCGCGCGAGUUCGAAUCUCGUCACUGUCA
This is a non-coding RNA of Trametes elegans, 95 nucleotides long. The record is from the annotation of a GenBank genome assembly. Lineage: Eukaryota; Fungi; Basidiomycota; Agaricomycetes; Polyporales; Polyporaceae.